GAAGAACUCUUCGAGAGGUUCAGCUUUGCAAGCUACUCCACUUGUUGCUGACACGGUCCUUCAAACGCUGUCUAAAGAUUUAACAUUUCUACACAACCGUGUUAGUAUGUUGCCUAGUGACACUCCCAUUCAAGUUCCACUACCUAAGGCAAUGUUCCACUUUGAUGAGGAUGCAGUUGCAUGGCUUAGCAAAGAAGAUGUGAAAGAAUUUCUAAGUGGUUCAAUGCUUAACAUCUCCCUCGUUCAAACAUUCAUGAGAGCACUACAGGAGCACUUACUUGAGAUUGAUUCUCCGUGUCAAGUAGGGUGGUUAUGCCCCGAGCAAAUCUCCACUACUAGAAUCUUAGGCAACUACCCUGACGUGUUGUACUAUGUUAAACGGGGUAUCAAGGAAUCAUUGCGUGCGGGUGACAAGUUCAUAUUCGCCCCAUGUUUUGAGGAGUACGUUUGACCAUGUCAAAUUCAUUUGUUUCCCCUAAUUAUAUGUUGUACACGGCUAAUUAUUGACUUGUUUGUGUAUUUUCCAUUUCUGUAGUGCACAUUGGACCUUGCUGGUGAUUUGUGUUCCCAGUAACACCAUCUUCCUUUUUGAUUCAGCUCGAUUGCCUCAUCCGAAAAAGCUCCUCGUGAAGUCUAUACUGCGAAAUGCUAUGAAGAAGAUAAAUUGCCGAGCUCCUCAAGGUCCU
Long non-coding RNA from Chenopodium quinoa (quinoa), 686 nucleotides. RefSeq lists it as uncharacterized. The record is from RefSeq and is a predicted model, not a curated record. NCBI's taxonomy places the organism in Eukaryota, Viridiplantae, Streptophyta, Magnoliopsida, Caryophyllales, Amaranthaceae. The transcript has 3 exons.